Non-coding RNA from Acanthosepion pharaonis, 91 nucleotides. NCBI's taxonomy places the organism in Eukaryota, Metazoa, Mollusca, Cephalopoda, Sepiida, Sepiidae. The record is from the annotation of a GenBank genome assembly.
UGCCAUAUCACAUUGAAACACCAGUUCUCAUAUGAUCACUGAAGUUAAGCAAUAUUGAAUUUGGUCAGUACUUAGAUGGGUGACCACUUGG